RNAcentral lists this ribosomal RNA (253 nucleotides) under uncultured bacterium. RNAcentral describes it as "partial 16S ribosomal RNA". It matches the Rfam family "Bacterial small subunit ribosomal RNA", at positions 524 to 776 of the family's 1533-position model. The record is from RNAcentral.
UACGGGGGGAGCAAGCGUUGUUCGGAUUUACUGGGCGUAAAGGGCGCGUAGGCGGCGUAACAAGUCACUUGUGAAAUCUCCGGGCUUAACUCGGAGCGGCCAAGUGAUACUGUUGUGCUAGAGUGCGGAAGGGGCUACUGGAAUUCUCGGUGUAGCGGUGAAAUGCGUAGAUAUCUGGAGGAACACCGGUGGCGAAGGCGGCAUCCUGGACCAACACUGACACUGAGGAGCGAAAGCCAGGGGAGCAAACGGG